GAUGAACGCUGGCGGCGUGCUUAAUACAUGCAAGUCGAGCGAACAGACGAGGAGCUUGCUCCUCUGACGUUAGCGGCGGACGGGUGAGUAACACGUGGAUAACCUACCUAUAAGACUGGGAUAACUUCGGGAAACCGGAGCUAAUACCGGAUAAUAUAUUGAACCGCAUGGUUCAAUAGUGAAAGACGGUUUUGCUGUCACUUAUAGAUGUAUCCGCGCCGCAUUAGCUAGUUGGUAAGGUAACGGCUUACCAAGGCAACGAUGCGUAGCCGACCUGAGAGGGGGAUCGGCCACACUGGAACUGAGACACGGUCCAGACUCCUACGGGAGGCAGCAGUAGGGAAUCUUCCGCAAUGGGCGAAAGCCUGACGGAGCAACGCCGCGUGAGUGAUGAAGGUCUUCGGAUCGUAAAACUCUGUUAUUAGGGAAGAACAAAUGUGUAAGUAACUAUGCACGUCUUGACGGUACCUAAUCAGAAAGCCACGGCUAACUACGUG
Molecule: ribosomal RNA, 497 nt
Filed under: uncultured bacterium
Lineage: Bacteria
Description: partial 16S ribosomal RNA
Rfam family: Bacterial small subunit ribosomal RNA
Source: RNAcentral